RNAcentral lists this ribosomal RNA (300 nucleotides) under uncultured Desulfurococcus sp. Its description in RNAcentral is "bacterial SSU rRNA". It matches the Rfam family "Bacterial small subunit ribosomal RNA", at positions 496 to 795 of the family's 1533-position model. The record is from RNAcentral. Lineage: Archaea; Thermoproteati; Thermoproteota; Thermoprotei; Desulfurococcales; Desulfurococcaceae.
GUAAGUUGAGGGUCAGCGGCGGUGGUAAGACGGGGGUGGGCAUGGUUAACCUGAAUUAUGGGGUGUAAAGGGGUGGGAGGGGGGUUCGAAGGUCGGAGGUGAAAGCCACCGGUGCAACCGUGGAGGGUCAUUGGAAACUGGGAAACGUGAGUGUAGUAGAGGGAAGCGGAAGUGCACGUGUAGCGGUGUAAUGCGGAGAGAUGUGGAGGAAGACCAGUGGCGAAGGCGGCUUUCUGGUCUGUAACUGACGCUGAGGCGCGAAAGCGUGGGGAGCAAACAGGAUUAGAUACCCGGGUAGUC